AGCAGCCGCGGUAAUUCCAGCUCCAAUAGCGUAUAUUAAAGUUGUUGCAGUUAAAAAGCUCGUAGUUGAAUUUCGGGGUUAGUAGGUUGGUCAUGCCUCUGGUAUGUACUGGUCUCACUGAUUCCUCCUUCCUGAUGAGCCGUAAUGCCAUUAAUUUGGUGUUGCGGGGAAUUUGGACUGUUACUUUGAAAAAAUUAGAGUGUUUAAAGCAAGCUAACGCUUGAAUACAUUAGCAUGGAAUAAUGAAAUAGGACGUUCGAUCCUAUUUUGUUGGUUUCUAGGAUUGACGUAAUGAUUAAUAGGGAUAGCUGGGGGCAUUAGUAUUCAAUUGUCAGAGGUGAAAUUCUUGGAUUUAUUGAAGACUAACUACUGCGAAAGCAUUUGCCAAGGAUGUUUUCAUUAAUCAAGAACGAAAGUUAGGGGAUCGAAGACGAUCAGAUACCGUCGUAG
This 450-nucleotide ribosomal RNA is filed under the name uncultured Glomeromycotina. Its description in RNAcentral is "SSU rRNA". It matches the Rfam family "Eukaryotic small subunit ribosomal RNA", at positions 569 to 1023 of the family's 1831-position model. The record is from RNAcentral. Lineage: Eukaryota; Fungi; Glomeromycota.